RNAcentral lists this ribosomal RNA (567 nucleotides) under uncultured bacterium. RNAcentral's name for it is "bacterial SSU rRNA". It matches the Rfam family "Bacterial small subunit ribosomal RNA", at positions 8 to 563 of the family's 1533-position model. The record is from RNAcentral.
CAGAGUUUGAUCCUGGCUCAGAGUGAACGCUGGCGGUAGGCCUAACACAUGCAAGUCGAACGGCAGCACAGGAGAGCUUGCUCUCUGGGUGGCGAGUGGCGGACGGGUGAGGAAUACAUCGGAAUCUACUUUUUCGUGGGGGAUAACGUAGGGAAACUUACGCUAAUACCGCAUACGACCUACGGGUGAAAGCAGGGGAUCUUCGGACCUUGCGCGAUUGAAUGAGCCGAUGUCGGAUUAGCUAGUUGGCGGGGUAAAGGCCCACCAAGGCGACGAUCCGUAGCUGGUCUGAGAGGAUGAUCAGCCACACUGGAACUGAGACACGGUCCAGACUCCUACGGGAGGCAGCAGUGGGGAAUAUUGGACAAUGGGCGCAAGCCUGAUCCAGCCAUACCGCGUGGGUGAAGAAGGCCUUCGGGUUGUAAAGCCCCUUUGUUGGGAAAGAAAUCCAGCUGGCUAAUACCCGGUUGGGAUGACGGUACCCAAAGAAUAAGCACCGGCUAACUUCGUGCCAGCAGCCGCGGUAAUACGAAGGGUGCAAGCGUUACUCGGAAUUACUGGGCGUAA